This 497-nucleotide ribosomal RNA is filed under the name uncultured bacterium. Its description in RNAcentral is "partial 16S ribosomal RNA". It matches the Rfam family "Bacterial small subunit ribosomal RNA", at positions 28 to 507 of the family's 1533-position model. The record is from RNAcentral.
GAUGAACGCUGGCGGCGUGCCUAAUACAUGCAAGUCGAGCGAACGGACGAGAAGCUUGCUUCUCUGAUGUUAGCGGCGGACGGGUGAGUAACACGUGGAUAACCUACCUAUAAGACUGGGAUAACUUCGGGAAACCGUAGCUAAUACCGGAUAAUAUUUUUAACCGCAUGGUUCAAAAGUGAAAGACGGUCUUGCUGUCACUUAUAGAUGGAUCCGCGCUGCAUUAGCUAGUUGGUAAGGUAACGGCUUACCAAGGCAACGAUGCAUAGCCGACCUGAGAGGGUGAUCGGCCACACUGGAACUGAGACACGGUCCAGACUCCUACGGGAGGCAGCAGUAGGGAAUCUUCCGCAAUGGGCGAAAGCCUGACGGAGCAACGCCGCGUGAGUGAUGAAGGUCUUCGGAUCGUAAAACUCUGUUAUUAGGGAAGAACAUAUGUGUAAGUAACUGUGCACAUCUUGACGGUACCUAAUCAGAAAGCCACGGCUACCUACGUG